Esox lucius (northern pike) is the source of this 996-nucleotide long non-coding RNA. Lineage: Eukaryota; Metazoa; Chordata; Actinopteri; Esociformes; Esocidae. The record is from Ensembl.
CUCCUAAUAUAGGUGAAUGUACUUUACGUCCAAUCCAUCACAAACAUGUCAAAUUAAAACACACAGAACAUCAUACAGGCGUCAGCUAUAUCGUUCCAGUUGUCAGGUCUUGAGUUGGGGCAGAGUUCCAAAACAAAUUAACAAAACAAAGAAUUGCAUUCCUUACUAGCGAUCCCAAAGAAUGCAAAGGGAGGGCCGUGCUCCACCACCACUACUUGAGUCCAUUAAAUCUAGUGAUGGGAAGACAACGGCCAGGAACAUUUCAGGUUGGGAAUUGUUCUUGAUUGACUUCAUCAAGGACACUACCUUCAGAUUGUCAUCCUUUGACCAUUGGCUCGCCCUUCUAAAAGGCUGCACAAUGUAUUUUCAACGUUCAGCUGAGCCAAUACUAUAACGGUCUCUUUCAGUAAUAAGGAAGACGAAGGAGUAGACAAGUGAAUUUAUUGUUUACAGGCAGAAUUAUACACAAUGCCCCUUUAAGGUAUGAUCGUAUUUCUGUUCAGGAUUUUACACAGUGCCCCUUUAAGGUAUGAUCGUAUUUCUGUUCAGGAUUUAACACAGUGCCCCUUUAAGUUGGGAUUGUAUUUCUGUUGAGGAUUGUACACAGUGCCCAUUUAAGGUGUGAUUGUAUUUCAGUUCAGGAUUGUACACAGUGCCCAUUUAAGGUGUGAUUGUAAUUCUCUUCAGGAUUGGACACAGUGCCCUUUUAAGGUGUGAUUGUAUUUCUCUUCCGGAUUGUCCACAAAGCUCAGUUAAGGUGUGAUUGUAAUUCUCUUCAAGUCCACAUGCCUGUCCACGCUCCCCUGGAGGUGUAGUCCACAGUGACCCGCCAGGUAACCAAACUGAUUUACGGUUUAAAAAUGUCAGUUCUCUGUAUCUGGUAGAAUGGUGACACAUUCUCUGAAGAUCAGUGCUGAGCAGGCAGUGAUGCAGGAACCAACAAGCCCAAAAAAAUUCAUAACCUGAAAAAAUAAAGGUGAUUUUACAUUAAUUUCC